Molecule: long non-coding RNA, 1488 nt
Organism: Papaver somniferum (opium poppy)
Lineage: Eukaryota; Viridiplantae; Streptophyta; Magnoliopsida; Ranunculales; Papaveraceae
Exons: 2
Source: RefSeq, a predicted model, not a curated record
AAUCAGGUGAUAAACAUCACUUCAUGCAGAUCAUUAUGCAUACCAAGGUACUAGGGUUUGGACGAUUUCCUGAAAUUCUUCUUCCAUUUUUAAGCUGAAAUAGAAAAUCUCAGAUUCACAUUCCAAGUGUUCAAACCGGUUUCGUUGUUAUCGAAAUGGCCACCGGUAAGCAGAAAUGGAUUGAAACACAGCAAGAGAUAAAGAAGAAGGUCAAGAAUGGUGAUUCCGAAGGAUUCAGUAAUACUCUUCCCCAUCUUUCUCAUGAUAUCAUUAUAAAUGCAUUUUUGAGAGGAGAUACCAUAUUGGGUACGCAGAUCAAACAUUUACUUUCAAAGACACUGUUUCACUGAUUUAUUUUUUACUAUUUUUUCCAUUAUGUUUUCAAAAUUUUCUCGAUCCAUCACUUCAAUUAUAAAAUUAACUGAUCAAAUUCCGUAAUAUAAACUAAUAAUGAACUGGAUUCAUGUUUGCCAAUCGAAUAUUAAAAGAUACGGCAGCAACAACUAGCUAAUUCAGUUCUUUUUUGAAAACCGCAGACUCAAUACAAUUUGAUUUAGAUUGCUAAUCAUACCCAAUAUCAAAAGUGCACUAAUCUAUAACCAUCAUAAUGUUUCAUCAUCGAUAUCAUUAUCAGAUUCAAAAAACACCACUGAUUCUUCUAUAUAAUCUGUCACCUUCAUAAUAAGCUUGAGUUGUCAAAACAAAAACAUUAAGCUUGAGUUGUAUUUGCUAUUUGUACAAAAGAUAAUUGAUGGAAAAAAUGAAUCAAUCUUUAGCCUAUAAAUUGAUUUCGUAAUCCUUAAUAACUAGAAUAAUAAGUUUAAGUGUGACGAUCCUCUACGUAAGAUUCUACCAAACUUAAAAACCCAUUUUGUAUCAUACUGACGAAAUCCUGAAAGCUAUGGCAUGGGCUUACAAGCAUGAUCCUGAGCACACCGGAGGCCUUAUAAAACUCAUACUUAUCACCAAAGAUGGUGUCGAACACUUAUACCAAGAGGAUGCCAAGGUGUUCAAAGAGUCCUAUAAGGAAUGGAUGGCGGCCCAGAAAAAGGAGGAGAGGGAAGCUAAGCUUGCACGAAAACACAAUUCUGGAGAGUAAGGAAUGGAUGAAUAGGGAGAAAUCUAUAUGGCAUUAGUUGUUCCAAAAGCAGUCCUGUUAUUGAGAUUAUACUGUUGACAAUCGUUCGUUUAUUUUUAGCUCUUUUUUAAAAACCAGCGUUCCUCGUGGGAGUUGGGCUUCACGGUAGAGCUGAUAGAAUGACCCAGACAUUCUCGGUGAUGAAUGUCCAACCUUUUCCCAUUAUACCUCAAUAGCUAUGUUUCACCAGACGAUAAAAGGUAUUUGUUUCCCUUUCUUAUGUGGCGUUUGUUGCAUUAAUGGUAUGAAUGGUUGAGCCUUUUGUAGAAGUGAAGAUCAUUUUGCAGAUGUAGUAGAUACAAAUUAUUUGCGUAAUUGGUUAUCUUUAUUGAAAAAUUAUUCAAUGAAAA